AGUAAGCCAUGAUUGCGCCAUUGUACUCCAGCCUGGAUGACAGAGCAAGACCCUGUCUCAAAAAGAAAAAAAGUUGAGGGAUAGGUAGAUUUCAAGGAUGGCCACCAUCAAUUCCUUCCCAUCUCUAUGUCACUUCGCCCAUCCAGAGGUGGAGUCUCUCUCCUCUACAACCGGACUUGCUUCAGCCAACAGAAUGCAGCUGAGGUGAUACUGUGCCAUUUCCAAGUCUGGCCUUUGAGAGGCUUGGAACUUUUGGGGUAAUCCAGCUGCCAUGUGAGAAUUCGAAUACCCUGAGACCAACAGGCUGUGCAGAAGCCAGAGCUAGCCAUGUGCAGAGGCCACGCAGAGGAGCCCCAGGCACCAUUCACGGUCCUUGCAGGACAAGAAGCCAGCUUUCAGAGAUUCUCCAGCCAUAACCAUCAUAAUCUGCUCGAUGCCCAACAUCUCUCUCCCAUGCUCCCUCCCUCUCUCAUACACACAUAAAGUAAAUAAAAUAAUAAAUUUCUCCCUGGCCUUCUCCAGCAGCCUAAUCUGGCAUCUGGGAUGCCUUAAACAUGUUCCUGGAUCAAUACCAUGUAGCUGUGUCCCAGGUCUACAAUACCAUGUAGAAACCUGUGUCCUAGGUCAUCUGUAAGUUCAUGAUUCAGAGGAUGGUGAAUCAAUUCAGCAGGAAAUUGCUCUCCUUUCUGCCACAAAUAUCUCUCCUAGACAAUGGAGACUGGCUUCCCCUGAUCUUGUCACUCUAAAUCUGCUUCAGAGAUCUUAACUGUAGAGCAAAAGCCCAGGUGGGUGCUUGAGGAACCACCUUCCCCUCUCACAACCACCACCAUAAUGGUGCAAAACUUAAGAAGAGUUCCCUGGAAAACUCUGUGUAACCCGAUAGACUUUAAUUCCUUUUGGUAGCGGAGAAAUCAGGCCUGCCAACAACAGACAGCUGAUCCUUACUCCCACCUGCCACUCAGGAAAAUGCAUUUCUCUGCUCAUUAAGGAGGAGGGAGAAGCCAUCAGCAAGGUACCAGGCGUUCUUGAGAUGGGUUGUUUAGAAGCCUUCCUCCUGGUGCUGCAGAAUUCUAACCCUGUUCAGAACUUUAUGUUCUCUGUUUAAGACUCAGAAUUUACUCUUCUCAUAAAUGAUGUGACCUGAAUAUCUGAUAGGAUAUUUUGAGGGGAUGGGCUGCAAUGGGGAACAGGGUACUGUCAUCACAGUAUCUUUGGAGCAAGACCUAAGAUUAAAAUGUGGCUUCUCAUA
Molecule: long non-coding RNA, 1249 nt
Organism: Cercocebus atys (sooty mangabey)
Lineage: Eukaryota; Metazoa; Chordata; Mammalia; Primates; Cercopithecidae
Exons: 2
Source: RefSeq, a predicted model, not a curated record